GAUGAACGCUGGCGGCGUGCUUAACACAUGCAAGUCGAACGAUGAAGCCCAGCUUGCUGGGUGGAUUAGUGGCGAACGGGUGAGUAACACGUGAGUAACCUGCCCUUAACUCUGGGAUAAGCCUGGGACACUGGGUCUAAUACCGGAUAGGAGCGUCCCCCGCCUGGUGGGUGUUGGAAAGAUUUAUCGGUUUUGGAUGGACUCGCGGCCUAUCAGCUUGUUAGUGAGGUAAUGGCUCACCAAGGCGACGACGGGUCGCCGGCCUGAGAGGGUGACCGGCCACACUGGGACUGAGACGCGGCCCAGACUCCUACGGGAGGCAGCAGUGGGGAAUAUUGCACAAUGGGCGCAAGCCUGAUGCAGCGACGCCGCGUGAGGGAUGACGGCCUUCGGGUUGUAAACCUCUUUCAGUAGGGAAGAAGCGAAAGUGACGGUACCUGCAGAAGAAGCACCGGCUAACUACGUG
This 466-nucleotide ribosomal RNA is filed under the name uncultured bacterium. RNAcentral describes it as "partial 16S ribosomal RNA". It matches the Rfam family "Bacterial small subunit ribosomal RNA", at positions 28 to 507 of the family's 1533-position model. The record is from RNAcentral.